UACGUAGGGUGCAAGCGUUAAUCGGAAUUACUGGGCGUAAAGCGCGCGUAGGUGGUUUGUUAAGUUGAAUGUGAAAUCCCCGGGCUCAACCUGGGAACUGCAGUCGAGACUGUCUAGCUAGAGUAUGGGAGAGGGAAGUGGAAUUUCAGGUGUAGCGGUGAAAUGCGUAGAUAUCUGAAGGAACAUCAGUGGCGAAAGCGACUUCCUGGACCAAUACUGACGCUCAUGUGCGAAAGCGUGGGGAGCAAACAGG
RNAcentral lists this ribosomal RNA (253 nucleotides) under uncultured bacterium. RNAcentral describes it as "partial 16S ribosomal RNA". It matches the Rfam family "Bacterial small subunit ribosomal RNA", at positions 524 to 776 of the family's 1533-position model. The record is from RNAcentral.